AUGGAUACUAGUGUACUAGCGCCAACACCUUCUCCCUGGUUCAGUAUUCAAAGUCUUGGAGGAAACUCGCUCUUCCUUGGACAAAACUAUCCAAUGAUGGUGGAAGGCGAUCCAGCUGCUGUUGACACAAUGUUAAUACCAUUUAUGAGAAGCAACUGUAUCUAUACCUCAGACAUUGCUAUGCUUCCCUACCAUCCCAAUAUGGGUCCUGACAUAGGUCGCUUCAACCUGGAUGAUCAGUCCUGCGUUGGUCUCGAGAUUGACAGUAGCUGGCCCUUCCCAGAGAAUCACUUCUGGUUCAAAGCAAGCGUUUCCAACGCCGACGAGUGGUUGAGCUGA
RNAcentral lists this ribosomal RNA (339 nucleotides) under Triticum aestivum (bread wheat). RNAcentral's name for it is "partial small subunit ribosomal RNA". Lineage: Eukaryota; Viridiplantae; Streptophyta; Magnoliopsida; Poales; Poaceae. The record is from RNAcentral.